RNAcentral lists this long non-coding RNA (3505 nucleotides) under Canis lupus familiaris (dog). RNAcentral's name for it is "lncRNA (ENSCAFG00000053068.1)". The record is from RNAcentral. Lineage: Eukaryota; Metazoa; Chordata; Mammalia; Carnivora; Canidae.
UUUAUUCAUUAGAGAGAGAGAGAGGCAGAGACACAGGCAGAGGGAGAAGCAGGCUCCACGUAGGGAGCCCGACAUGGGCCUCGAUCCAGGGUCACGCCCUGGGCCAAAGGCAGGUGCUUAACCCCUGAGCCACCUGGGCUGCCGCCGCCUCCUUUUUCUGUUAGCCUGUUACGUCCCCAGGAUUUGUCCGUAACCAGGUGCAGUGGGGCCUGCACACAUGGAAAUGACUGUCAGGAAGUAGAAACAAGACCUGUUCCUAGAGGCCUGCGGGUAUAGACCUCUAGGAACAGGAUUCGGGGACAAGUGGGGACAGGCCGGGGUCAGGGAGAGGGGAGAGGGCAGAGCAAGGCCUGGAAACGUCACUGGGCUUCUCUUGGGAAGGCCUGGGGAGACAGGGAGGGCCCGGAGUUGGCUUAGUUUGGAGAGUUUGAAGAAUCCCGGCAGGCUCUGGACUACAAGGGGCGGUCCCCUGCUGUCUGGGACCUAGUCCUGGGGUGUCGUACGCAGGGGGAGGGAUUCUGGCUUCGUGGGUGAGAGUUUGAUGAAGCAGGUUACUGGGGAUGUGGGCAUUUUGGGGUGGUUGGCUUGUAUAUGGCAGGCGCACCUGGAGGGGAGUCCUUCGCCUUCUCUAGGAAUUAGCCACCCCUGAGCGGGGCGGUCUCCCCAGGUUCAACACCCCAAGUGCCAGAGCAUCGAGGAAACCGAAAAUAAGAAAACACGGUCAAUAAGGUGGCCACCUCUGCCUCCCUGCAGAGUCCCGCCCUCUUAGUUUAUCACCUAAGCCUGUGUCCUCAAACAUCCUUUGCUGCUCAGAUCUUACUCUAGAUUGCACAGCUUAACCUAAAUCAGAUGUUAAUGAGAAAGAGGAGAGGGGUUCUAACAUGAACCAUGUUGAAGCGCUUCGAGGAUUUCGAUUUCUUGGGUUGUGCUGGAUGAGACCAGCCUUGCACAAGACGUGAGAAAGGGAAAUUGUUCUGAGAACGUCGACAUAACCCGCAUCGACCUAACCCAGCCGGAAGGUCUGAGAGGUGGGACCACUGGUGUCAAGCCGGGUCAGCUGUUGGGUGCAGGAGGCCUCUGCCAAGGACGCUGCGACUGCGGGGGAUCCCUGGGGGGCUCAGCGGUUGAGCAACGCCUUCAGCCCAGGGCGUGAUCCUGGGGUCCUGGGAUCGAGUCCCAUGUCGGGCUCCCUGCUUGGAGCCUGCUUCUCCCUCUGCCUGUGUCUCUGCCUCUCUCUCUCAUGAAUAAAUAAAAUUUAAAAAAGAAGAAGCUCCUGCGGAUCAAUUUACCUGAGACCAAGGGCUGCUCAGCUGGGCAGAGAGCCGGCUUGGCAAUGAGGAGUUUACAUCGAGACCCCCGACAAGGCCCUCGCUGUGCCCACCAGCCUUGCACCACCAUAUCCCCCACCUUGACCUCUUAGCCACUGGGCCCCGAACCCCCAAACCCUACAAAGUCCUCCUCCGACUCCCCCUCCCUGCGCCCUGAGCUCCGAUGACCUUAGUCUUGCUUUAGCUGCAGGCGGUCAGAUGAUGUAUCGGGAAGCUCAACUGUGGUUUCCCGAGCCGCUGUAGUCAGGUGACUUGGGGACCAUCCUCUAUGCCAGCGACACCUUUGUGACGACGCAAUCGUGUGAGCAUAAUAAAGCUUCUGAAAAUUCUGCAUCAAAAAAGUAAAACUUCCAGAUUUUUUAAAAAAAGAUCUUACUAAUUGGAGACAGAAAGCAGGAGCAGGGAGGAAGGGCGGAGGCGCCCCCGAGGCACCCCCAAGCAGGGCGUCCGCUCGCAGGUCAGGGCCCUCGGGCCUCGGCUCCCGAAGCCGCUGCAGCAGGUGCGCGCCGCCCAGCACGCGCCUCGGCGAAUGUUCUCGAGGCGGACGGCUCCUGUUCCUGGUGGUGCCUCUGAAGGCUCAGAGGGAACCCCAGCUGGGGCCUGCACAGCCCUCUCAGGGGUGGAGGAGGCAUCCGUCGGGACCCCAACUUCCUUGCUGUUUCCUCUCUGGAAAAACCCUGCUUUCUGUCCCAGAUCGGGGGAGGAGAAACUAAGGAGUUCCCGAGAAUUCCAGGACCCAGAGCAGCGUCCGGGAAACAGGUGGCCAAGCAAAGAGGGCAACCCGCCUCACAGAAUCAAGGUUAUUCGAAUUACCACUGAACGUUUUGCCGGCGUGCUCCUUGGUGUGUCCUCAUUAAAAAUUAAUCACACUAAUAUUACAGUGAUUAAGAGGAAACAGCUGAAGGCAGACGCUGUGGCUCUGGCUGGGUGAAGCGAGGUACCAGGGCUGCUCCAGCCAAGAAGCUUCAUCGUCUUACUUAAAAAAAUAAGGGAAGGGGGGGCACCUGGGAGGCUCAGCGGUUGGGCCUCCGCCUUCAGCCCAGGGCGUGACCCCGGGGUCCCGGGAUCGAGUCCCGCGUCGGGCUCCCUGCAUGGGGCCUGCUCUCCCUCCGCCUGUCUCGGCUUUGUGUGUGUGUCUCUCAUGAAUAAACAAAUAAAAUCUUAAAAAAAAAAAAAAAAGAAGAAGAAGGAAGAGAAACUCGGGUCAGACCCGACCUAAGGACGUGUGGGCUGGGGCCUGGGCGCCGGGAGCCUGCUUCUCCCCCCAUGGUGUCUCCCGGCACCCAGUCGCCUCCUCAGGGCCUACAGCGGCCGCCUGCGGGGGAGUCAGAGCCCCCCCCCCCCCAGCACGGUCCAUCCACUCCCAGUCUAUGGAGCUGAAUUUGGAUUAUGCCAAGGGGGUUUUUCUGGUUUUGUUUUUUCCCUUGUCUACGCCCCGGGAGCCACUGUUCUUUCUUCUUUUUCCAACUGUAUGAUGGGGGGCAGAGGGCUCGGCGGAAGACGGUUCCGGGGGGAGCCGGGGGUUUCUCACAAGGGAUGAAAGGCCAAGGCCCUGCCCGGCUGGACAGGCCGAGAAGCCCGGGGCCGACGGCGCCGCCGGGCCCCCGCCCAGGCCACAGAGCCGCGCACCCCGGAGGCACGUCCCGUCCCCCCCCAUCAACCACCUCAAAGGCAAGGAGAAGCGGUGAAGGGCGAAAGCCCCCCUGGGCCAGUGACACGGAGGCUGGUCCUUCGAGUGUUCCCCUUGUACCCGAGCCCGGCCCCGCCCGGAGAAGCCAAAGGACAGACGUCCCAGCCCGGCGCUCCGACGCCCACAGCUUUCUAGUGCUGUGGGGACAGAAGGCUCCAGGCCUGUUAUUUAAAAACACAACCUGCUGAUUAUAAAAACUGUAUUACAGGGGAGAAGGGACCGCGGGCAGCCGGGGGCGGGGGGCCCCGAAACGCCAAAAUUGCGGGCUUUCUUUUCUACCCACACCCCCUGGCAGGGCCUGGCAGGGCCGGCCUCGUGGCCGCGGGCGGGAAGCACUGAGCGGGCAAGAGAAGGGGCCCGAAAGGAGGGGGCGACGAAACCCCACGCUCGAGGGGCACGGCGGGAAGGAGCGAGUCGUCACCCGAGUUUUGUUUUGAAGAUUUUAUUUAUUCAUGAGAGACGGGGGCGGGGGUGGGCAGAGACACAG